Long non-coding RNA from Suncus etruscus (white-toothed pygmy shrew), 222 nucleotides. RefSeq lists it as uncharacterized. The transcript is spliced from 2 exons. NCBI's taxonomy places the organism in Eukaryota, Metazoa, Chordata, Mammalia, Eulipotyphla, Soricidae. The record is from RefSeq and is a predicted model, not a curated record.
AUUAUUUGUGAAUUCCAAAGGGACUCAGAAGAAAAACUUUAACACCUGGAAGUUAAACAACCUCAUACUCAAUAACCAGUGGGUCUGAGAUGUAAUCAAGGAGGAAAUCAAAAGGUUCCUGGAAACAAAUGAUAAUAAAGACUCAAACUAUCAGAAAUUAUGGGACACAGCAAAAGCAGUACUGAGAGGAAAAUUUAUAGCUUUGCAAGAACACAUCAGGAA